Molecule: ribosomal RNA, 433 nt
Filed under: uncultured bacterium
Lineage: Bacteria
Description: partial 16S ribosomal RNA
Rfam family: Bacterial small subunit ribosomal RNA
Source: RNAcentral
GACGAACGCUGGCGGCAUGCCUAACACAUGCCAGUCGAACGAGACCUUCGGGUCUAGUGGCGCACGGGUGCGUAACGAGUGGGAACCAGCACUUAGGUACGGUAUAACUGCCUGAAAGGGGAGUUAAUACCGGAUAAUCUCUUCGGACCUAAGAUCUAUUGCCGUUGGAUGGGCCCGGGUUAGAUUGGGUAGUUGGUAGGGUACUAGCCUGCCAAGGCCACGAUGCUUAGCUGGUCGGUGAGGAUGACCCGGCACACUGGGAAUGCGACACGGCCCAGGCUCCUACGGGAGGGAGCAGUGUGGAGUAUUAUGCGAUGAGCGAAAGCGUGAUCCAGCAAUGCCGCGUAAGUGAUGCAGGCCUUAGGAAUGUAAAGCUCUUUUACCCGAGAUGAGAAUGACAGUACCGGGAGAAUAAGCACCGGCUAACUCCGUG